AAAGGACAAGCUUUUGAGCUGGAAUCUGCGUCAUUUUUCAGACAUUUCCAAUGAGGUGUGUGGUAAGGUAUGUCUUCCUCAUCUUUCUCUUUCCUCCUGUUAAAAUGUAACGCUUGAAUUUCUUUAGACUUUCUUUACUGGAGAGGUACCUCAAUGUGUGAACACUCGUGUGGGCUUCACUGUUCCUUGGGCAGAAGUUUUAGCCCAGAUAAGGGCCAUUGGAGGAGGCCUGACAAGAAUGUCGACCCUCUGCUCUCCUUGAUCAAGUGCCUUUCAGCAGAUUUUUCACGACAGAAUAAUAGUGGAUGCACUGAUGUUGUCAAGCUUCCAGUGCGAAAUGCAAUGCCAGGACUGACAUGCUGAAUUUUCUGCGUGCCAACAGAAACCUCAACUUGCCAGAUGGAACUAACACAUUAUAUAGAUCAUUUUAUUUCAAAUGGAAACAUUUUAAUGAUUGUUUCUGUGCUGUUUUCCUGCUCAGAUUUUAUUAAAAUUUUGCACUUGAAUGGCUGAGAAAGUUCAAGAUCUUGCUAUUGAAUACCAACUUUAUCAUUUGGAAGCCAAGUUAUGUAUAUAGCAAAAAAUACAAGCCCAGAUGAAGAGAGGUGAAAGUACCCUGAGUCCUUAGGAGAACUCAUGCGUCGAGUUACGGAUACUGUAAAGGCAAAAAAGGCUUUGCACCAAGGUUCAAUAGAAGUUCAAAAUAUAAAAUAGAAAUGGCUCAGUACCAAAAUCCUGGUAUCUGAAAAUCCCACAGCCUUUGGAAUCUGAAGUUCAUGGUAUUAAUCUAAUUUGUUCUAGAUGAGUAGCCAGCCCUUUGUGUGCCUGACAGCUGUCUGUUAUGAGCAAGAGCAUGUCUGAUAGGGUAGAGGGAUAUACUGCCCUUCUCUGCUUCCUAAACAGAGGAGAAUCUGACAUUUCUAACUGGUGCUAGCACAGAAGCAAAG
This 947-nucleotide long non-coding RNA is filed under the name Dromaius novaehollandiae (emu). RNAcentral describes it as "lncRNA (ENSDNVG00000016742.1)". Lineage: Eukaryota; Metazoa; Chordata; Aves; Casuariiformes; Dromaiidae. The record is from RNAcentral.